This 253-nucleotide ribosomal RNA is filed under the name uncultured bacterium. Its description in RNAcentral is "partial 16S ribosomal RNA". It matches the Rfam family "Bacterial small subunit ribosomal RNA", at positions 524 to 776 of the family's 1533-position model. The record is from RNAcentral.
UACGUAGGGACCAAGCGUUGUCCGGAAUCAUUGGGCGUAAAGAGCGCGUAGGCGGCUCGUUAAGUGUGAAGCUAAAUCUCUUGGCUCAACCUCGGGUCUGCAGUCGAUACGGGCAAACUAGAGUAUUGCAGGGGAGACUGGAAUUCCUGGUGUAGCGGUGAAAUGCGCAGAUAUCAGGAGGAACACCGGUGGCGAAGGCGGGUCUCUGGGCAAUAACUGACGCUGAGGAGCGAAAGCGUGGGGAGCGAACAGG